Molecule: ribosomal RNA, 880 nt
Filed under: Odonticium romellii
Lineage: Eukaryota; Fungi; Basidiomycota; Agaricomycetes; Hymenochaetales
Description: LSU rRNA
Rfam family: Eukaryotic large subunit ribosomal RNA
Source: RNAcentral
AUUCCCCUAGUAACUGCGAGUGAAGCGGGAAGAGCUCAAAUUUAAAAUCUGAUGGCUUCGCCGUCCGAGUUGUAAUCUGGAGAAGUGUUUUCCGCGCUGGACCGUGUACAAGUCUCUUGGAACAGAGCGUCAUAGAGGGUGAGAAUCCCGUCUUUGACACGGACUGCCAGUGCUUCUGUGAUACGCUCUCGAAGAGUCGAGUUGUUUGGGAAUGCAGCUCAAAAUGGGUGGUAAAUUCCAUCUAAAGCUAAAUAUUGGCGAGAGACCGAUAGCGAACAAGUACCGUGAGGGAAAGAUGAAAAGCACUUUGGAAAGAGAGUUAAACAGUACGUGAAAUUGUUGAAAGGGAAACGCUUGAAGUCAGUCGCGUCUUCCGGGAUUCAGCGUGUCGAUCUCGAUCGCCUCGUGUACUUCCCGGUCGACGGGUCAACAUCGAUUUUGGUUCGGCGGACAAGGGCGGGGGGAAUGUGGCACCUUCGGGUGUGUUAUAGCCCUCCGUCGGAUGCGCUGGCUGGGAUCGAGGACCGCAGCGAGGCUUUCGGGUCUUUGCUUAGGAUGUUGGCAUAAUGGCUUUAAGCGACCCGUCUUGAAACACGGACCAAGGAGUCUAACACGCCUGCGAGUGUUAGGGUGGAAAACCCUUGCGCGUAAUGAAAGUGAAAGUUGGGACUCCCGUCGUGGGAGGCACCGACGCCCGGCCCUGAACUUCUGCGACGGUGCUGCGGUAGAGCAUGUGUGUUGGGACCCGAAAGAUGGUGAACUAUGCCUGAAUAGGGUGAAGCCAGAGGAAACUCUGGUGGAGGCUCGUAGCGAUUCUGACGUGCAAAUCGAUCGUCAAAUUUGGGUAUAGGGGCGAAAGACUAAUCGAACCAUCUAGUAG